Molecule: ribosomal RNA, 454 nt
Filed under: uncultured bacterium
Lineage: Bacteria
Description: partial 16S ribosomal RNA
Rfam family: Bacterial small subunit ribosomal RNA
Source: RNAcentral
GAUGAACGCUGACAGAAUGCUUAACACAUGCCAGUCUACCUGAACUUCGGUUUGGGUGGCGGACGGGUGAGUAACGCGUAAAGAACUUGCCUCACAGAUAGGGACAACAUUUGGAAACGAAUGCUAAUACCUGAUAUUAUGAUUUUAGGGCAUCCUAGAAUUAUGAAAGCUAUAUGCACUGUGAGAGAGCUUUGCGUCCCAUUAGCUAGUUGGAGAGGUAACGGCUCACCAAGGCGAUGAUGGGUAGCCGGCCUGAGAGGGUGAACGGCCACAAGGGGACGGAGACACGGCCCUUACUCCUACGGGAGGCAGCAGUGGGGAAUAUUGGACAAAGGACCAAGAGUCUGAUCAAGCAAUUCUGUGUGCACGAUGAAGUUUUUCGGAAUGAAAAGUGCUUUCAGUUGGGAAGAAAAAAAUGACGGUACCAACAGAAGAAGUGACGGCUAAAUACGUG